CCUACGGGAGGCAGCAGUGGGGAAUAUUGGACAAUGGGGGCAACCCUGAUCCAGCCAUGCCGCGUGUGUGAAGAAGGCCCUCGGGUUGUAAAGCACUUUCAGUGAGGAAGAACGCCUGGUGGUUAAUACCCAUCAGGAAAGACAUCACUCACAGAAGAAGCACCGGCUAACUCCGUGCCAGCAGCCGCGGUAAUACGGAGGGUGCGAGCGUUAAUCGGAAUUACUGGGCGUAAAGCGCGCGUAGGUGGCUUGAUAAGCCGGUUGUGAAAGCCCCGGGCUCAACCUGGGAACGGCAUCCGGAACUGUCAAGCUAGAGUGCAGGAGAGGAAGGUAGAAUUCCCGGUGUAGCGGUGAAAUGCGUAGAGAUCGGGAGGAAUACCAGUGGCGAAGGCGGCCUUCUGGACUGACACUGACACUGAGGUGCGAAAGCGUGGGUAGCAAACAGGAUUAGAUUACCCUAGUAGUC
RNAcentral lists this ribosomal RNA (466 nucleotides) under Vreelandella stevensii. RNAcentral describes it as "partial 16S ribosomal RNA". It matches the Rfam family "Bacterial small subunit ribosomal RNA", at positions 338 to 795 of the family's 1533-position model. Lineage: Bacteria; Pseudomonadati; Pseudomonadota; Gammaproteobacteria; Oceanospirillales; Halomonadaceae. The record is from RNAcentral.